RNAcentral lists this ribosomal RNA (491 nucleotides) under uncultured bacterium. RNAcentral describes it as "partial 16S ribosomal RNA". It matches the Rfam family "Bacterial small subunit ribosomal RNA", at positions 28 to 507 of the family's 1533-position model. The record is from RNAcentral.
GAUGAACGCUAGCUACAGGCUUAACACAUGCAAGUCGCGGGGCAGCAUGGGGGUUGCUUGCAACCCCUGAUGGCGACCGGGGCACGGGUGAGUAACGCGUAUCCAACCUGCCCUUCACCACGGGAUAACCCGGCGAAAGUCGGACUAAUACCGUAUGUUGUCCAUUGACGGCGCCCGAUUGGGGAGAAAGGCUUGGGGGUGAGAGGAUGGGGAUGCGUCUGAUUGGGUUGACGGCGGGGGAACGGCCCGCCGUGGAUACGAUGGGUAGGGGUGCUGGGAGGAAGGUCCCCCACACUGGAACCGAGACACAGUCCAGAAUCCUACGGGAGGCAGCAGUGAGGACUAUUGGGCAAGGGGCGUAAGCCUGAACCAGCCAAGUAGCGUGCAGGAUGACGGCCCUAGGGGUUGUAAACUGCUUUUAUGCGGGGAUAAAGUGGCCCACGUGUGGGCUUUUGCAGGUACCGCAUGAAUAAGGACCGGCUAAUUCCGUG